This 459-nucleotide ribosomal RNA is filed under the name uncultured bacterium. RNAcentral's name for it is "partial 16S ribosomal RNA". It matches the Rfam family "Bacterial small subunit ribosomal RNA", at positions 338 to 795 of the family's 1533-position model. The record is from RNAcentral.
CCUACGGGUGGCAGCAGUGAGGAAUAUUGGUCAAUGGACGCAAGUCUGAACCAGCCAUGCCGCGUGCAGGAAGACGGCUCUAUGAGUUGUAAACUGCUUUUGUACGAGGGUAAACGCAGAUACGCGUAUCUGUCUGAAAGUAUCGUUCGAUUAAGGAUCGGCUAACACCGUGCCAGAAGCCGCGGUAAUCCGGAGGAUUCAAGCGUUAUCCGGAUUUAUUGGGUUUAAAGGGUGCGUAGGCGGAUCGUUAAGUCAGUGGGCAAAUUGCGGGGCUCAACCCCUUCCCGCCGUGGAAACUGGGGUUCUUGAGUGGAAGAGAAGUAUGCGGAAUGCGUGGUGUAGCGGUGAAAUGCAUAGAUAUCACGCAGAACCCCGAUUGCGAAGGCAGCAUGCCGGCUUCCGACUGACGCUGAAGCACGAAAGCGUGGGGAUCGAACAGGAUUAGAUACCCCGGUAGUC